GGACAAGUCUUAUAAAGAUUGUCUAUCAAGCUUCGGAAGUGUCUGAUGAGCUCCAGAAGUGUUCUAAGGGCUGUGCAAAGAUAGGGCCAAGUCCAGGAGGGACUUAGAAGAUGGUUUAGGCACAAAUGGAUGAGUGUGCAAAUAUAGGGCGAGACCGGGACGAGGCCGUACGGACUUGUACGGACCGGGAUCGACCCGAGAAGCAUAACUCACUCAUUUGAGACAUUUUAGGUCUUGUGCAAAAUUAGGGCGUUGGUACGAUCAGGAAAGCAUUCCGUACACACCCUGAUGUUUGUAACAAGACCUAACUUGCGUCCCAAGGAAGAAGCAACUCGUGAGCUAAGUGUGUGAAGAAGCAAAGAGGUGAUUCUGAUCAUAAGGGGCGCCAUUGUCUUUCUCUAAGUCAUGGGACUGUUUGUGGAUAAGUGACAAGCUGUGCAAGCUGUCCAUGAGCUGUGUAUUAACCAUGUAUCUGGACAGAUACAUGGGAACAUUCAGGAGCCUAAAAGGAACCAAUAAGAGGCUGGUCUUUCUGCUUGUGUAUGUGGAUGAUAUCAUCAUAACAGGCAGUGAUAAGGAAGGAAUCAAAGCCACCAAGGAAUUCCUGAAGUCAGUCUUUGAUAUAAAGGACUUGGGAGAGAUGAAGUACUUCUUUGGGAUUGAGUUAUGUAGAUCAAAGGAAGGAUUGUUUAUCUCUCAAAGAAAGUAUGCAUUGGAUCUCUUGAAGGAUGCUGGUGCUUAUGGAGGGAAAAUAGCCAAAAUGCCCAUGGAGGAUGGGUAUAAGAUUCCACGUGAGGGGGAGCUAGAAGAUAGCAAGCUGUUCCAUGAUCCAAAGCUGUAUAGAAAGCUUGUGGGGAAGCUGAUAUACUUAACCAUCACACGGCCAGACAUUUGCUUUGCUGUGAAUCAAGUAAGCCAGCAUAUGCAAGCUCCAAAGGAGCAUCACUGGCGCAUGGUUGAGAGAGUUCUCAUGUACUUGAAUGGAACUCAAGGGCUUGGUAUAUGGAUGGGUUGCAAUGGAAGCACUGAAGUUGUGGGUUAUUGUGAUGCCGAUUGGGCAGGUGAUAGAGCAGAUAGAAGGUCUACAACAGGCUACUGCACAUUCCUUGGAGGAAACAUGAUUACGUGGAAGAGUAAGAAGCAAAAGGUGGUAUCAUGCUCUAGUGCUGAAGCUGAGUAUAGAGCUAUGCUUACGCUCACCAACGAGUUGGUGUGGAUCAAGGGGAUCCUAAAUCAUUUGGAGAUUGAGCAAGCGACACCAAUGACCAUGCAUUGUGACAAUCAAGCGGCCAUUCACAUUGCUACCAACUCAGUGUUUCAUGAGAGAACAAAGCACAUUGAAGUAGACUGCCACAAGGUAAGGCAGAUGAUAGUCUUAGGGGUGAUCUUGCCAUGUUACACAAGGAGUAAAGAUCAGUUGGCAGAUGUAUUCACCAAGGCAGCUAGGCAAAAGAUCAUGGAGUCUAUACACAUCAGGUUAGGACUCAUUGAUCUUUCAUCUAAGGGCUAAUCUACACACUCUCCUGAUCAUGAGGUCUUUACUCUUUUUCCCUCAUCAAAGUUUUGUCCUAAAUGGGUUUUCUUUGGUGAGGUUUUUAAUGAGGGAGAGCUCAUGGUCCUUCCAAGCUUUGACUUGUUCCACAUGGUCAAGCUUGAGGGGGAGUGUUGAGAUAAGCAGAAUAAUAUAUGAGAAGAGGUGUCUUGAGUAUUGGAGAGAAGAUGAGAUGAUGAGGGAAAGAGGAGAAGAAAUGCCGUAGGGCGAUCCGUUCUUACCAGGCCAUACAUGGCCGUACGGUUCAUGCGAAUAGUGGUCGACCUAAACUCGACCUAAGAAGAAAAGAAGUUACCAAGGUAGAAAGGUAAGUCGACCAGAGUUACUGAGAGACUUAACCCUAUCCUAUCUGACCGUUGGAAGAAAGGAGAGAGCAUCUAGACAGGCUGGCUCAGCCUGGAUGGAUAAGGUUCUUCCUUUGGUACAUGUGAAGCUUCUGAUUGGUCCUAGUUUGAAUUAAAGCAACCUUAUCCUUUGACUUUGUUAACUUGAAGAAAAGAAAUGGUGUCAAAGGAGAAGUAUGGAGGAGUUUGGGUCUGGUUCAAAGAUAGGACAAGUCUUAUAAAGAUUGUCUAUCAAGCUUCGGAAGUGUCUGAUGAGCUCCAGAAGUGUUCUAAGGGCUGUGCAAAGAUAGGGCCAAGUCCAGGAGGGACUUAGAAGAUGGUUUAGGCACAAAUGGAUGAGUGUGCAAAUAUAGGGCGAGACCGGGACGAGCCCGUACGGACUUGUACGGACCGGGAUCGACCCAAGAAGCAUAACUCACUCAUUUGAGACAUUUUAGGUCUUGUGCAAAAUUAGGGCGUUGGUACGAUCAGGAAAGCAUUCCGUACACACCCUGAUGUUUGUAACAAGACCUAACUUGCGUCCCAAGGAAGAAGCAACUCGUGAGCUAAGUGUGUGAAGAAGCAAAGAGGUGAUUCUGAUCAUAAGGGGCGCCAUUGUCUUUCUCUAAGUCAUGGGACUGUUUGUGGAUAAGUGACAGGCUGUGCAAGCUGUCCAUGAGCUGUGUAUUGACCAUGUAUCUGGACAGAUACAUGGGAACAUUCAGGAGCCUAAAAGGAGCCAAUAAGAGGCUGGUCUCUACUUGACCAGAUUCAAAUAAACCAAUCAGACAGCAAAGAGAGUUUAACCAAUCAGAUGAAAACCAGACCAACUCCCCAUCUGAUCCAUC
RNAcentral lists this long non-coding RNA (2723 nucleotides) under Brassica napus (rape). RNAcentral describes it as "long non-coding RNA (BNAP_LNC018441)". The record is from RNAcentral. Lineage: Eukaryota; Viridiplantae; Streptophyta; Magnoliopsida; Brassicales; Brassicaceae.